AUUGAACGCUGGCGGCAGGCCUAACACAUGCAAGUCGAACGAGUGGCGGACGGGUGAGUAAUGUCUGGGAAACUGCCUGAUGGAGGGGGGUAACUACGGGAAACGGUAGCUAAUACCGCAUACCAUCGGAUGUGCCCAGAUGGGAUUAGCUAGUAGGUGGGGUAAAGGCUCACCAAGUCGACGAUCCCUAGCUGGUCUGAGAGGAUGACCAGCCACACUGGGACUGAGACACGGUCCAGACUCCUACGGGAGGCAGCAGUGGGGAAUAUUGCGCAAUGGGCGCAAGCCUGAUGCAGCCAUGCCGCGUGAAUGAAGAAGGCCUUCGGGUUGUAAAGUACUUUCAGCGGGGAGGCGUUAACCACAGAAGAAGCACCGGCUAACUCCGUGCCAGCAGCCGCGGUAAUUC
This 406-nucleotide ribosomal RNA is filed under the name uncultured bacterium. RNAcentral's name for it is "partial 16S ribosomal RNA". It matches the Rfam family "Bacterial small subunit ribosomal RNA", at positions 30 to 526 of the family's 1533-position model. The record is from RNAcentral.